AAAUAACUACGAGUAAAAACUUAAAACUUAAAAGACUUGACGGUGCUUCAUACCAACCUAGAGGAGCCUGUCUAAUAACCGAUAAUCCACGAUUAACCCAACCUGCUCUCGCCACACAGUCUAUAUACCGCCGUCGCCAGCUUACCUCCUGAGAGAAACAAAGUAAGCUAAAUAGCAACACACUAACACGACAGGUCGAGGUGUAACUAAUGAACAGGACCAAGAUGGGCUACAUUUCUCUUAACCAGAAAAACGAACAGACUAUGAAAAUAGGAACUGAAGGCGGAUUUAGUAGUAAGAUAAGAAUAAAAUACCUAACUGAACAAUGCAAUGAAGCGCGC
Molecule: ribosomal RNA, 341 nt
Filed under: Limaformosa capensis (Cape file snake)
Lineage: Eukaryota; Metazoa; Chordata; Lepidosauria; Squamata; Lamprophiidae
Description: partial 12S ribosomal RNA
Source: RNAcentral